This 468-nucleotide ribosomal RNA is filed under the name uncultured bacterium. Its description in RNAcentral is "partial 16S ribosomal RNA". It matches the Rfam family "Bacterial small subunit ribosomal RNA", at positions 28 to 507 of the family's 1533-position model. The record is from RNAcentral.
GACGAACGCUGGCGGCGUGCUUAACACAUGCAAGUCGAACGGAAAGGCCCUGCUUUUGUGGGGUGCUCGAGUGGCGAACGGGUGAGUAACACGUGAGUAACCUGCCCUUGACUUUGGGAUAACUUCAGGAAACUGGGGCUAAUACCGGAUAGGAGCUCCUGCUGCAUGGUGGGGGUUGGAAAGUUUCGGCGGUUGGGGAUGGACUCGCGGCUUAUCAGCUUGUUGGUGGGGUAGUGGCUUACCAAGGCUUUGACGGGUAGCCGGCCUGAGAGGGUGACCGGCCACAUUGGGACUGAGAUACGGCCCAGACGCCUACGGGAGGCAGCAGGGGGGAAUAUUGCACAAUGGGCGGGAGCCUGAUGCAGCAACGCCGCGUGCGGAAUGACGGCCUUCGGGUUGUAAACCGCUUGCGCCUGUGACGAAGCGUGAGUGACGGUAAUGGGUAAAGAAGCACCGGCUAACUACGUG